This 1364-nucleotide ribosomal RNA is filed under the name uncultured bacterium. Its description in RNAcentral is "bacterial SSU rRNA". It matches the Rfam family "Bacterial small subunit ribosomal RNA", at positions 28 to 1381 of the family's 1533-position model. The record is from RNAcentral.
AUUGAACGCUGGCGGUUGGCUUAACACAUGCAAGUCGAGCGGUAGCACAGGAGAGCUUGCUCUCUGGGUGACGAGCGGCGGACGGGUGAGUAAUGUCUGGGAAACUGCCUGAUGGAGGGGGAUAACUACUGGAAACGGUAGCUAAUACCGCAUAACGUCGCAAGACCAAAGAGGGGGACCUUCGGGCCUCUUGCCAUCAGAUGUGCCCAGGUGGGAUUAGCUAGUAGGUGGGGUAAUGGCUCACCUAGGCGACGAUCCCUAGCUGGUCUGAGAGGAUGACCAGCCACACUGGAACUGAGACACGGUCCAGACUCCUACGGGAGGCAGCAGUGGGGAAUAUUGCACAAUGGGCGCAAGCCUGAUGCAGCCAUGCCGCGUGUGUGAAGAAGGCCUUCGGGUUGUAAAGCACUUUCAGCGAGGAGGAAGGUGGUGAACUUAAUACGUUCAUCAAUUGACGUUACUCGCAGAAAAAGCACCGGCUAACUCCGUGCCAGCAGCCGCGGUAAUACGGAGGGUGCAAGCGUUAAUCGGAAUUACUGGGGCGUAAAGCGCACGCAGGCGGUUUGUUAAGUCAGAUGUGAAAUCCCCGGGCUCAACCUGGGAACUGCAUUUGAAACUGGCAAGCUAGAGUCUCGUAGAGGGGGGUAGAAUUCCAGGUGUAGCGGUGAAAUGCGUAGAGAUCUGGAGGAAUACCGGUGGCGAAGGCGGCCCCCUGGACGAAGACUGACGCUCAGGUGCGAAAGCGUGGGGAGCAAACAGGAUUAGAUACCCUGGUAGUCCACGCUGUAAACGAUGUCGAUUUGGAGGUUGUGCCCUUGAGGCGUGGCUUCCGGAGCUAACGCGUUAAAUCGACCGCCUGGGGAGUACGGCCGCAAGGUUAAAACUCAAAUGAAUUGACGGGGGCCCGCACAAGCGGUGGAGCAUGUGGUUUAAUUCGAUGCAACGCGAAGAACCUUACCUACUCCUGACAUCCAGAGAACUUUCCAGAGAUGGAUUGGUGCCUUCGGGAACUCUGAGACAGGUGCUGCAUGGCUGUCGUCAGUUCGUGUUGUGAAAUGUUGGGUUAAGUCCCGCAACGAGCGCAACCCUUAUCCUUUGUUGCCAGCGGUUCGGCCGGGAACUCAAAGGAGACUGCCAGUGAUAAACUGGAGGAAGGUGGGGAUGACGUCAAGUCAUCAUGGCCCUUGCGAGUAGGGCUACACACGUGCUACAAUGGCAUAUACAAAGAGAAGCGACCUCGCGAGAGCAAGCGGACCUCAUAAAGUAUGUCGUAGUCCGGAUUGGAGUCUGCAACUCGACUCCAUGAAGUCGGAAUCGCUAGUAAUCGUAGAUCAGAAUGCUACGGUGAAUACGUUCCCGGGCCU